GUGCUCGCUUCUGCAGCACAUACACAAAAUCGGAACAAUACAGAGGAGAUUAGCAUGGCCCCUGUGCAAGGAUGACACGCAAAUUCGUGACAUGUUCCAUAUCUUU
Canis lupus familiaris (dog) is the source of this 106-nucleotide non-coding RNA. Lineage: Eukaryota; Metazoa; Chordata; Mammalia; Carnivora; Canidae. The record is from Rfam.